Molecule: ribosomal RNA, 1034 nt
Filed under: Scopulariopsis crassa
Lineage: Eukaryota; Fungi; Ascomycota; Sordariomycetes; Microascales; Microascaceae
Description: SSU rRNA
Rfam family: Eukaryotic small subunit ribosomal RNA
Source: RNAcentral
GCAUUAUACCGCGAAACUGCGAAUGGCUCAUUAUAUAAGUUAUCGUUUAUUUGAUAGCACAUUACUACUUGGAUAACCGUGGUAAUUCUAGAGCUAAUACAUGCUAAAAAUCCCGACUUCGGAAGGGAUGUAUUUAUUAGAUUAAAAGCCAACGCCCUUCGGGGCUCUGUGGUGAUUCAUAAUAACUGGUCGAAUCGCAUGGCCUUGCGCCGGCGAUGGUUCAUUCAAAUUUCUUCCCUAUCAACUUUCGAUGCGAGGGUCUUGUCCUCGCAUGGUUGCAACGGGUAACGGAGGGUUAGGGCUCGACCCCGGAGAAGGAGCCUGAGAAACGGCUACUACAUCCAAGGAAGGCAGCAGGCGCGCAAAUUACCCAAUCCCGACACGGGGAGGUAGUGACAAUAAAUACUGAUACAGGGCUCUUUUGGGUCUUGUAAUCGGAAUGAGUACAAUUUAAAUCCCUUAACGAGGAACAAUUGGAGGGCAAGUCUGGUGCCAGCAGCCGCGGUAAUUCCAGCUCCAAUAGCGUAUAUUAAAGUUGUUGUGGUUAAAAAGCUCGUAGUCGAACCUUGGGCCUGGCUGGCCGGUCCCCCUCACCGGGUGCACUGAUCCAGCCGGGCCUUUCCCUCUGUGGAACCCCAUGGCCUUCACUGGCUGUGCGGGGGAAACAGGACUUUUACUGUGAAAAAAUUAGAGUGCUCCAGGCAGGCCUAUGCUCGAAUACAUUAGCAUGGAAUAAUAGAAUAGGACGUGUGGUUCUAUUUUGUUGGUUUCUAGGACCGCCGUAAUGAUUAAUAGGGACAGUCGGGGGCAUCAGUAUUCAGUUGUCAGAGGUGAAAUUCUUGGAUCUACUGAAGACUAACUACUGCGAAAGCAUUUGCCAAGGAUGUUUUCAUUGAUAAGGAACGAAAGUUAGGGGAUCGAAGACGAUCAGAUACCGUCGUAGUCUUAACUAUAAACUAUGCCGACUAGGGAUCGGACGAUGUUAUUAUUUGACGCGUUCGGCACCUUUCGAGAAAUCAAAGUGCUUGGGCUCC